AACUUUCAACAACGGAUCACUUGGUUCUGGCAUCGAUGAAGAACGCAGCGAAAUGUGAUAAGUAAUGCGAAUUGCAGAAUUCAGUGAGUCAUCGAAUCUUUGAACGCAUAUUGCGCCCUUUAGUAUUCUGAAGGGCAUGCCUGUCCGAGCGUCAUUAUCAACCAUCAAGCUUUGGCUUGCCGUUGGACUUUGCGUAUGCUGGUAUGCCGGCAAUAGCAGGUCUUCAAGGUAGUGGCGGUGUCGUGGCGGACCCCGGAUACAACGAGCUCUCUAUAGCACGUAUCAAGGUGGCCCCCGAUCCAGCCUCACUGGAAUCUCAUAUCUAAAAGGUUGACCUCGGAUCAGGUAGGAGUACCCGCUGAACUUAAGCAUAUCAAUAAGCGGAGGCU
Molecule: unclassified non-coding RNA, 389 nt
Filed under: uncultured Chaetothyriales
Lineage: Eukaryota; Fungi; Ascomycota; Eurotiomycetes; Chaetothyriales
Description: sequence contains ITS2
Rfam family: 5.8S ribosomal RNA (bases 1-154)
Source: RNAcentral